CCUACGGGAGGCAGCAGUGGGGAAUAUUGCACAAUGGGCGCAAGCCUGAUGCAGCCAUGCCGCGUGUGUGAAGAAGGCCUUCGGGUUGUAAAGCACUUUCAGUUGUGAGGAAGGUUCAUGCGUUAAUAGCGCAUGGAUUUGACGUUAGCAACAGAAGAAGCACCGGCUAACUCCGUGCCAGCAGCCGCGGUAAU
RNAcentral lists this ribosomal RNA (194 nucleotides) under uncultured bacterium. RNAcentral describes it as "partial 16S ribosomal RNA". It matches the Rfam family "Bacterial small subunit ribosomal RNA", at positions 338 to 524 of the family's 1533-position model. The record is from RNAcentral.